Molecule: ribosomal RNA, 505 nt
Filed under: uncultured bacterium
Lineage: Bacteria
Description: partial 16S ribosomal RNA
Rfam family: Bacterial small subunit ribosomal RNA
Source: RNAcentral
GACGAACGCUGGCGGCGUGCCUAAUACAUGCAAGUAGAACGCACAGUUUAUACCGUAGCUUGCUACACCAUAGACUGUGAGUUGCGAACGGGUGAGUAACGCGUAGGUAACCUGCCUGGUAGCGGGGGAUAACUAUUGGAAACGAUAGCUAAUACCGCAUAAUAUGGAUUAUUGCAUGAUAAUUGAUUGAAAGAUGCUAUUGCAUCACUACCAGAUGGACCUGCGUUGUAUUAGCUAGUAGGUGAGGUAACGGCUCACCUAGGCGACGAUACAUAGCCGACCUGAGAGGGUGAUCGGCCACACUGGGACUGAGACACGGCCCAGACUCCUACGGGAGGCAGCAGUAGGGAAUCUUCGGCAAUGGACGAAAGUCUGACCGAGCAACGCCGCGUGAGUGAAGAAGGUUUUCGGAUCGUAAAGCUCUGUUGUAAGAGAAGAACGGGUGUGAGAGUGGAAAGUUCACACUGUGACGGUAUCUUACCAGAAAGGGACGGCUAACUACGUG